GGCUAAAGCAUGCAAGUCGAACGAGAACUGGCCUUCGGGCCAGGGACAGUGGCGGAAGGGCGAGUAAUGCGUUCCUUACGUACCCUCUGGUAGGGGAUAGGUCAGGGAAACUUGGCGUAAUACCCUAUAAGAUCUCCGGAUGAAAGGCUNCGGUCGCCGGAGGAGCGGGGAACGUCCUAUCAGGUUGUUGGUGAGGUAACGGCUCACCAAGCCGAAGNCGGGUAGCGGGUGUGAGAGCAUGACCCGCCGCAUCGGGACUGAGACACUGCCCGGACUCCUACGGGAGGCUGCAGCGACGAAUAUUCCGCNAUGCGCGAAAGCGUGACGGAGCAAUGCCGCGUGCAGGAUGAAGCGGCUUCGCCGUGUAAACU
RNAcentral lists this ribosomal RNA (371 nucleotides) under uncultured Planctomycetota bacterium. Its description in RNAcentral is "bacterial SSU rRNA". It matches the Rfam family "Bacterial small subunit ribosomal RNA", at positions 46 to 431 of the family's 1533-position model. The record is from RNAcentral. Lineage: Bacteria; Pseudomonadati; Planctomycetota.